GCUCGGCACAGGCCACGGCCUCGCCGGCCGGUCACAGCACAACUGUGGUCAGCUCGACUCUCCUGCUUCGGCAAACACACUGCGCGGUCCGGCAGAGCGGGGCGUAGCGGCGGUUCAGCGCAGAACUGCCGUCGAGACCCGCGGCCGGC
This 149-nucleotide non-coding RNA is filed under the name Bradyrhizobium sp. YR681. RNAcentral's name for it is "Bacteriophage Diversity-Generating Retroelement RNA". It matches the Rfam family "Bacteriophage Diversity-Generating Retroelement RNA". The record is from Rfam by way of RNAcentral. Lineage: Bacteria; Pseudomonadati; Pseudomonadota; Alphaproteobacteria; Hyphomicrobiales; Nitrobacteraceae.